This 654-nucleotide ribosomal RNA is filed under the name Salmonella enterica subsp. enterica serovar Bonn. Its description in RNAcentral is "partial 23S ribosomal RNA". It matches the Rfam family "Bacterial large subunit ribosomal RNA", at positions 1 to 688 of the family's 2925-position model. The record is from RNAcentral. Lineage: Bacteria; Pseudomonadati; Pseudomonadota; Gammaproteobacteria; Enterobacterales; Enterobacteriaceae.
GGGUUGUGAGGUUAAGCGACUAAGCGUACACGGUGGAUGCCCUGGCAGUCAGAGGCGAUGAAGGGCGUGCUAAUCUGCGAUAAGCGCCGGUAAGGUGAUAUGAACCGUUAUAACCGGCGAUACCCGAAUGGGGAAACCCAGUGUGAUUCGUCACACUAUCAUUAACUGAAUCCAUAGGUUAAUGAGGCGAACCGGGGGAACUGAAACAUCUAAGUACCCCGAGGAAAAGAAAUCAACCGAGAUUCCCCCAGUAGCGGCGAGCGAACGGGGAGGAGCCCAGAGCCUGAAUCAGCAUGUGUGUUAGUGGAAGCGUCUGGAAAGGCGCGCGAUACAGGGUGACAGCCCCGUACACAAAAGCGCAUGUGCUGUGAGCUCGAUGAGUAGGGCGGGACACGUGGUAUCCUGUCUGAAUAUGGGGGGACCAUCCUCCAAGGCUAAAUACUCCUGACUGACCGAUAGUGAACCAGUACCGUGAGGGAAAGGCGAAAAGAACCCCGGCGAGGGGAGUGAAAAAGAACCUGAAACCGUGUACGUACAAGCAGUGGGAGCACCCUUCGGGGUGUGACUGCGUACCUUUUGUAUAAUGGGUCAGCGACUUAUAUUCUGUAGCAAGGUUAACCGAAUAGGGGAGCCGUAGGGAAACCGAGUCUUAAC